UGGGGAAUAUUGCGCAAUGGGCGAAAGCCUGACGCAGCGACGCCGCGUGAGGGAUGAAGGUUUUCGGAUCGUAAACCUCUGUCAGAAGGGAAGAAACCGCACUGUGCUAAUCAGCAGUGCCUUGACGGUACCUUCAAAGGAAGCACCGGCUAACUCCGUGCCAGCAGCCGCGGUAAUACGGAGGGUGCAAGCGUUAAUCGGAAUUACUGGGCGUAAAGCGCACGUAGGCUGCUUUGUAAGUCAGGGGUGAAAUCACACGGCUCAACCGUGGAACUGCCUUUGAUACUGCUUAGCUUGAAUCCGGGAGAGGGUGGCGGAAUUCCAGGUGUAGGAGUGAAAUCCGUAGAUAUCUGGAGGAACAUCAGUGGCGAAGGCGGCCACCUGGACCGGUAUUGACGCUGAGGUGCGAAAGCGUGGGGAGCAAACAGG
This 429-nucleotide ribosomal RNA is filed under the name Fusobacteriota bacterium. RNAcentral describes it as "Fusobacteria bacterium partial 16S ribosomal RNA". It matches the Rfam family "Bacterial small subunit ribosomal RNA", at positions 355 to 776 of the family's 1533-position model. The record is from RNAcentral. Lineage: Bacteria; Fusobacteriati; Fusobacteriota.